This 442-nucleotide ribosomal RNA is filed under the name uncultured bacterium. RNAcentral's name for it is "partial 16S ribosomal RNA". It matches the Rfam family "Bacterial small subunit ribosomal RNA", at positions 338 to 795 of the family's 1533-position model. The record is from RNAcentral.
CCUACGGGAGACAGCAGUGGGGAAUAUUGGGCAAUGGGCGCAAGCCUGACCCAGCAACGCCGCGUGAAGGAAGAAGGCUUUCGGGUUGUAAACUUCUUUUGACAGGGAAGAGCAGAAGACGGUACCUGUCGAAUAAGCCACGGCUAACUACGUGCCAGCAGCCGCGGUAAUACGUAGGUGGCAAGCGUUGUACGGAUUUACUGGGGGUAAAGGGCGUGUAGCCGGGCUGACAAGUCAGAUGUGAAAUCCGGGGGCUCAACCCCCGAACUGCAUUUGAAACUGUUGGUCUUGAGUAUCGGAGAGGCAGGCGGAAUUCCCAGUGUAGCUGUGAAAUGCGUAGAUAUUAGGAGGAACACCAGUGGCGAAGGCGGCCUGCUGGACGACAACUGACGGUGAGGCGCGAAAGCGUGGGGAGCAAACAGGAUUAGAUACCCGGGUAGUC